Molecule: ribosomal RNA, 365 nt
Filed under: uncultured Polaribacter sp.
Lineage: Bacteria; Pseudomonadati; Bacteroidota; Flavobacteriia; Flavobacteriales; Flavobacteriaceae
Description: bacterial SSU rRNA
Rfam family: Bacterial small subunit ribosomal RNA
Source: RNAcentral
GCACGGGUGCGUAACGCGUAUAGAACCUACCUUUUACAGAGGAAUAGCCUUUAGAAAUGAAGAUUAAUGCCUCAUAGUAUUGUAGACUGGCAUCAGUUUAUAAUUAAAGAUUUAUCGGUAAAAGAUGGCUAUGCGUCCUAUUAGUUAGUUGGUAAGGUAACGGCUUACCAAGACAGCGAUAGGUAGGGGUCCUGAGAGGGAGAUCCCCCACACUGGUACUGAGACACGGACCAGACUCCUACGGGAGGCAGCAGUGAGGAAUAUUGGACAAUGGAGGAGACUCUGAUCCAGCCAUGCCGCGUGUAGGAAGAAUGCCCUAUGGGUUGUAAACUACUUUUAUACAGGAAGAAACACUGGUAUGUAUA